Molecule: ribosomal RNA, 170 nt
Filed under: Hoya bilobata
Lineage: Eukaryota; Viridiplantae; Streptophyta; Magnoliopsida; Gentianales; Apocynaceae
Description: 5.8S ribosomal RNA
Rfam family: 5.8S ribosomal RNA
About the family: 5.8S ribosomal RNA (5.8S rRNA) is a component of the large subunit of the eukaryotic ribosome. It is transcribed by RNA polymerase I as part of the 45S precursor that also contains 18S and 28S rRNA.
Source: RNAcentral
ACACGACUCUCGGCAACGGAUAUCUAGGCUCUCGCAUCGAUGAAGAACGUAGCAAACUGCGAUACUUGGUGUGAAUUGCAGAAUCCCGUGAACCAUCGAGUCUUUGAACACAAGUUGCGCCCGAAGCCAUUAGGCUGAGGGCACGUCUGCCUGGGCGUCACGCAUCGCGU